CUCUCUCUCUCUCUCUCUCUCUCUCUCUCUCUCUGAGAAAUAUUCAUGAUGACAAAUUGAAGAUGAUGAUUAGCUGCGGAUAUUAGAUGAUAAUCAUUUUCCAUCACCAUGAACCUGAUUAUUUCUUGGAAAUAAAUCAAUUUGAGAGAUGAUGAUGAUGGCGAGAAGGAAAAAAAUCAAAAUGGCAAAACUAGAACGAUACUAAUGAUGAUGAUGAUCCAGUUUGACACGCCUUCGAUAAUCAUCAUUGAAUCAACAUGGAUGAGGGUUUGAUUGAAGAUGAUGAAGUAAUCAGGAUAAAGAGAGAGAGAGAGAGAGAGAGGGAGGGAGGGAGAGAGAGAAACCUGUGAAUACAUUGAUGAGGAUGAUCAAUACACAGGAUGAGAGAGUAAAGAAGGAAAAAUAUCUUUGAUUGGUUACCAGUAAUCAGAAUUAUUUUCAUCAUCGUUGAUCUUGAGUUCUUGGUGAAUCUUUCAUCGUCAUUAACAUUAUCAGUUAUAAGUUAAUCCAACCGGAUAUCCCGAGGAUAAUCAAGAUUAAAUCAUAUGUAAUGAAAGGUAGAGAGAAAGAUCAACUCAAAGGAAACUUAAAUCAGAUAAAGAUCAUCAGGUUAACCAAAUGAUUAAACCUGAUACUUGGUCUCACAAUAUUCAUGAUAUAAUUUAGAAGAAAAUUUUUAGGUUUGGGUUUUCUCUUUCUCUCUCUCCCUCUCUCAAUUAUCCCAGUCCAAGAAGAUGAAGAUGCUCAAGAUGACGACCAAGUGAUAAGGUUGAUGGUCAAAUGGAAAAUGAGACCAAUUAAGAUCAUUAAUUUAACUUAAUUUCCAUUCGACAAUCAAUGCUUUUCGCUAAUCACCAUAUUCUCAGAACAUAAUUAGCGUCUUCAUGUUUCCUUGUUCUCUUUCUCUCUCAUCUGUUGAUCAAAGAUUAUUUCCCAUGAUAUAAAUACAACAUCAUCAUGAUAAUCAUUCCAUCAAUGAGGUUGAAACGAUAAUCCAAAAUCAAAUCGUAAUCAUUAACAUUUGAUAUUCGUUUUGAUUACAAAUCUUCAUUUCCAAUUCUUCAAUCAUUCAAUAUCCUCAUUAACUUGUAAUCAAUUGGUGAUGGUAAACAGAUCAAACAAAACACAUGAAUCUAAAUGGUAAAGAUGAAGGAUAAUCAACGAUAAUCAUCAUCUUCAUCAUCAUCAACUGGACCAACAACAAGAAUUAAAUUGUUAACCCAUAAUAAGAAAAGCCGUUAAUCAGACUAAUCAAUGGAAAUGGUGAAAUAACGGUAAUAUGAAAAUGAAGAGAAGGAAAUUAUUAUCAAAGUAAAUAAAAGAUAAUCAUUAGUCGGUUGGAAGAAGAUGACAGAAUAUCAUCUUGUUCCAUAUUCUUUUCCAGGAUGGAUGAAGAUCCAUAAAAAAGUUCUCAUAAUGGAAUAAGAAAGGGAUGAUUAAAGGAACAUGAGGUGUUGAUGAUAGCGAAAAAUAUUCCAAGCGAAUCUUCUUAUGAGCCAUUUCAUUUUCCACUUUUUUAUCCACAACAAAGAUGACACAAUGAGAGAGAAGGAAAGUGAGUCUUGGUGGAGAAACGAGAUAAGCAACAAGGAUCCACCGGUGAUGAGGAUGAAAUGAUGAACUUGGUCCAAGUAAUUGUUUGCCUCAUAAAGAACACGAGAUAAUCAAGAUGGAGAAAAAAACGGAAAACUAUCAACAGAAUUAACGAUUCUGAUGGAAGGAGAAAAUCUCAUGAGAAUAAUUAAAUUUGCAGCGUAAAUUAAAUCUCUAAUCAACAUACCUAAUACAUGGAUAAUAGAUAAAUUGUUGAAGAUCAAAUUGUUAACAUAAAUUAACUACCAUUGAAA
Molecule: long non-coding RNA, 1847 nt
Organism: Panonychus citri (citrus red mite)
Lineage: Eukaryota; Metazoa; Arthropoda; Arachnida; Trombidiformes; Tetranychidae
Exons: 3
Source: RefSeq, a predicted model, not a curated record